CAUGCAAGUCGAGCGGUAACAGACAUAAAGAUUCAGCUUGCUGAAUCCGGUGCUGACGAGCGGCGAACGGGUGAGUAACGCGUAGGAAUCUACCCAGUAGCGGGGGAUAGCCCGGGGAAACCCGGAUUAAUACCGCAUACGCCCUAAGGGGGAAAGGGGGCAGCUUGCUGCUCUUACUAUUGGAUGAGCCUGCGUAAGAUUAGCUUGUUGGUAGGGUAAUGGCCUACCAAGGCAACGAUCUUUAGCUGGUCUGAGAGGACGAUCAGCCACAUUGGGACUGAGACACGGCCCAGACAUCUACGGAUGGCAGCAGUUAAGAAUAUUGGACAAUGGGGGCAACCCUGAUCCAGGUAUACCGCGUGUGUGAAGAAGGCCCUAGGGUUGUAAAGCACUUUAAUCAGAGAAGAAGCAUUUUAAGUUAAUACCUUAUUAUGUUGACGUUACCUGAAGAAUAAGGACCGGCUAACUCCGUGCCAGCAGCCGCGGUAAUACGGAGGGUCCAAGCGUUAAUCGGAAUUACUGGGCGUAAAGCGCGCGUAGGCGGUUUAGCAAGUUGAAUGUGAAAGCCCUAGGCUCAACCUAGGAACUGCAUUCAAAACUACUGAGCUAGAGUACGAGAGAGGAGAGUAGAAUUUCUGGUGUAGCGGUGAAAUGCGUAGAUAUCAGAAGGAAUACCAAUGGCGAAGGCAGCUCUCUGGCUCGUCACUGACGCUAAGGUGCGAAAGCGUGGGUAGCAAACAGGAUUAGAUACCCUGGUAGUCCACGCCGUAAACGAUGAGAACUAGCCGUUGGACAGAUUUAACUGUUCAGUGGCGCAGCUAACGCAUUAAGUUCUCCGCC
RNAcentral lists this ribosomal RNA (840 nucleotides) under uncultured Gammaproteobacteria bacterium. RNAcentral's name for it is "bacterial SSU rRNA". It matches the Rfam family "Bacterial small subunit ribosomal RNA", at positions 54 to 873 of the family's 1533-position model. The record is from RNAcentral. Lineage: Bacteria; Pseudomonadati; Pseudomonadota; Gammaproteobacteria.